CAAUAGCGUAUAUUAAAGUUGUUGCAGUUAAAAAGCUCGUAGUUGAAUUUCUGGUGGGCGCGCCGGUCCUCCAAGUGUUGUACUGGGCGCAGUCCGCCAUCCUUGUGGAGAGGGCUCGCAUUGAGUUGCGUGUCGGAUCUGCAUCAUUUACUGUGAAAAAAUUAGAGUGUUUAAAGCAGGCUGUCGCUUGAAUACAUUAGCAUGGAAUAAUAAGAUAGGACUUCGGUCUAUUUUGUUGGUUGCGAACCGAGGUAAUGAUUAAUAGGGAUAGUUGGGGGUAUUCAUAUUUAAUUGUCAGAGGUGAAAUUCUUGGAUUUAUGAAAGAUGAACAACUGCGAAAGCAUUUACCAAGGAUGUUUUCAUUA
RNAcentral lists this ribosomal RNA (365 nucleotides) under uncultured eukaryote. RNAcentral describes it as "partial 18S ribosomal RNA". It matches the Rfam family "Eukaryotic small subunit ribosomal RNA", at positions 592 to 975 of the family's 1831-position model. The record is from RNAcentral.